RNAcentral lists this unclassified non-coding RNA (231 nucleotides) under Glomeraceae sp. Its description in RNAcentral is "partial contains 5.8S ribosomal RNA and internal transcribed spacer 2". The stretch from base 1 to 71 matches the Rfam family "5.8S ribosomal RNA", at positions 84 to 154 of the family's 154-position model. The record is from RNAcentral. Lineage: Eukaryota; Fungi; Glomeromycota; Glomeromycetes; Glomerales; Glomeraceae.
GUGAAUCAUCAAAUCUUUGAACGCAAAUUGCACUCUCCGGUAUUCCGGAGAGUAUGCCUGUUUGAGGCUCUGUUUAAAUAAAAACCGGUGUGGUUGCCGCUUUUCGUGGUGACGCAUCGGAUUUGGGUCGUUUUGUCUUCGGUUAAGUGACUUAAAAUUUUGCAUGUUUUUCUUUGAACGUAUCUAAAUGUUUUUACGUUAGUUUGCGAUAUCGAUUACUUGGUGUGGUCC